Molecule: transfer RNA, 71 nt
Filed under: Haania vitalisi
Lineage: Eukaryota; Metazoa; Arthropoda; Insecta; Mantodea; Haaniidae
Description: tRNA-Val
Source: RNAcentral
CAAAUUAUUUAAAUAAGUUAAAAUUUUCAUUUACAUUGAAAAAAUUUAUCGUGCAAUUCGAUAUAAUUUGA